RNAcentral lists this transfer RNA (75 nucleotides) under Leucothrix sp. Its description in RNAcentral is "tRNA-Met". The stretch from base 8 to 64 matches the Rfam family "tRNA", at positions 8 to 63 of the family's 71-position model. Rfam says of the family: Transfer RNA (tRNA) molecules are approximately 80 nucleotides in length. Lineage: Bacteria; Pseudomonadati; Pseudomonadota; Gammaproteobacteria; Thiotrichales; Thiotrichaceae. The record is from RNAcentral.
UAGUAUCUAGAUAUGCGGGAGGUCAAUUGACUCAUAAUCAAUUGGUCGAGCGUUCGAAUCGCUCACGGCGACCCA